Molecule: ribosomal RNA, 95 nt
Organism: Oryza sativa (Asian cultivated rice)
Lineage: Eukaryota; Viridiplantae; Streptophyta; Magnoliopsida; Poales; Poaceae
Rfam family: Bacterial small subunit ribosomal RNA
Source: Rfam
AUGGCAAUGACAAUGGGAAGCAAGGCUGUAAGGCAGAGCAAAUCCGGAAAGAUUGCCUCAGUUCGAAUUAUUCUAUGCAACUCGGGAACAUGAAG